RNAcentral lists this ribosomal RNA (253 nucleotides) under uncultured bacterium. Its description in RNAcentral is "partial 16S ribosomal RNA". It matches the Rfam family "Bacterial small subunit ribosomal RNA", at positions 524 to 776 of the family's 1533-position model. The record is from RNAcentral.
UACGAAGGGGGCUAGCGUUGCUCGGAAUCACUGGGCGUAAAGCGCACGUAGGCGGAUUGUUAAGUCAGGGGUGAAAUCCUGGAGCUCAACUCCAGAACUGCCUUUGAUACUGGCGAUCUCGAGUCCGGGAGAGGUGAGUGGAACUGCGAGUGUAGAGGUGAAAUUCGUAGAUAUUCGCAGGAACACCAGUGGCGAAGGCGGCUCACUGGCCCGGUACUGACGCUGAGGUGCGAAAGCGUGGGGAGCAAACAGG